This is a long non-coding RNA of Carassius auratus (goldfish), 124 nucleotides long. RefSeq lists it as uncharacterized. The record is from RefSeq and is a predicted model, not a curated record. The transcript has 4 exons. Lineage: Eukaryota; Metazoa; Chordata; Actinopteri; Cypriniformes; Cyprinidae.
AAUCAGGAGACAAGGGGUCUUCAGGACAUGAUGGCCCCCCAGGGUCCACAGGAGAGAGAGGUCCACAAGGGCCUCAGGGACGUGUAGGUGAGGUGGGCCCCAAGGGACCCAAUGGGCCUGCUGG